This 452-nucleotide ribosomal RNA is filed under the name uncultured organism. Its description in RNAcentral is "partial 16S ribosomal RNA". It matches the Rfam family "Bacterial small subunit ribosomal RNA", at positions 332 to 800 of the family's 1533-position model. The record is from RNAcentral.
UACACUCCUUCGGGAGGCAGCAGUGGGGAAUCUUGCGCAAUGGGCGAAAGCCUGACGCAGCCAUGCCGCGUGAAUGAUGAAGGUCUUAGGAUUGUAAAAUUCUUUCACCGGGGACGAUAAUGACGGUACCCGGAGAAGAAGCCCCGGCUAACUUCGUGCCAGCAGCCGCGGUAAUACGAAGGGGGCUAGCGUUGCUCGGAAUUACUGGGCGUAAAGGGAGCGUAGGCGGACAUUUAAGUCAGGGGUGAAAUCCCGGGGCUCAACCUCGGAAUUGCCUUUGAUACUGGGUGUCUUGAGUAUGAGAGAGGUGUGUGGAACUCCGAGUGUAGAGGUGAAAUUCGUAGAUAUUCGGAAGAACACCAGUGGCGAAGGCGACACACUGGCUCAUUACUGACGCUGAGGCUCGAAAGCGUGGGGAGCAAACAGGAUUAGAAACCCGGGUAGUCCCAUGA